Long non-coding RNA from Patella vulgata (common limpet), 687 nucleotides. RefSeq lists it as uncharacterized. The transcript has 4 exons. The record is from RefSeq and is a predicted model, not a curated record. Lineage: Eukaryota; Metazoa; Mollusca; Gastropoda; Patellidae.
UCAAUUAAAGAGAAUAUACUAAGUCUGACAGCAGCUAAUAAUGGUGGUACAACUGAUGCACCAGGAAAUACAAAUAUAGGACCAGUUCAAGAUACUGUGUGGACUAAUAUGGUUAAUCCUGUUAAUAUUCACUUUAGAUUUACUGCAGAUUACCAACAAGCUGUGCCUUCUCGACAGGAGUAUGUCAAGGAUUUUAAAGUUGGCAUUAUUAGUGCGAGUUUACGUCUGGAAAGGGAUGUCAAUAAUAUUAUUUCUCAUCGUUGUGGUGGAACACAGAGUCGAAGUAAUCCUAACCGGGGUGUGUUUACCUGUGAACAGACAUUAACAGAUUUAUCUCAGUUAUCUCUACCAUUUAAUCACAAGGAUGUACUCUCGUUUUCGAUGUCAGUUGCCAAUGGUGGAUUUGUUAAGAUCGAAAAUAAAGAAACAAACUUGGUGGAAACUGUAUACCUACAAGGAUUGACUCAAACCAAUACAUUUUCUAUAACAUUUGACACUGUAGAUCCAUAUCAUUGUACACCCCAGUCAGGAUGUUCUCUAGAUAUGCUCUCUGAUGUAGACUUAUCUAAACAGCGUACUAAACGUUUUUCAUGGGACGGCUGGGUGGAUGUAGAUGCUGGGAUUAAAGAAUACGAGUAUGAACUUUUUGAACUUCAUCGUGUUGGUAAUGAACUUGGUGUCAAGGCG